RNAcentral lists this ribosomal RNA (520 nucleotides) under uncultured Glomus. RNAcentral's name for it is "SSU rRNA". It matches the Rfam family "Eukaryotic small subunit ribosomal RNA", at positions 569 to 1090 of the family's 1831-position model. The record is from RNAcentral. Lineage: Eukaryota; Fungi; Glomeromycota; Glomeromycetes; Glomerales; Glomeraceae.
AGCAGCCGCGGUAAUUCCAGCUCCAAUAGCGUAUAUUAAAGUUGCUGCAGUUAAAAAGCUCGUAGUUGAAUUUCGGGACCGAUAUAUCGGUCGUGCCUCGGUACGUACUGGUAUUUUCGGUUUCUCCCUUCUGACGAACCUUGAUGUCAUUAAUUUGGUGUCUUGGGGAAUCAGGACUGUUACUUUGAAAAAAUUUAGAGUGUUUAAAGCAGGCUCACGCUUGAAUACAUUAGCAUGGAAUAAUGAAAUAGGACGUUUGAUUCUAUUUUGUUGGUUUCUAGGAUCGACGUAAUGAUUAAUAGGGAUAGUUGGGGGCAUUAGUAUUCAAUUGUCAGAGGUGAAAUUCUUGGAUUUAUUGAAGACUAACUACUGCGAAAGCAUUUGCCAAGGAUGUUUUCAUUAAUCAAGAACGAAAGUUAGGGGAUCGAAGACGAUCAGAUACCGUCGUAGUCUUAACCAUAAACUAUGCCGACUAGGGAUCGGAUGAUGUUAAUUUUUUAAUGACUCAUUCGGCGCCUUA